GCGGCGGUGGUCCAGCCUGGUAAGACACGAGCCUUCCAAGCUCAUAACCCGGGUUCAAAUCCCGGCCGCCGCA
Molecule: transfer RNA, 73 nt
Filed under: Candidatus Aenigmatarchaeota archaeon
Lineage: Archaea; Nanobdellati; Candidatus Aenigmatarchaeota
Description: tRNA-Gly
Rfam family: tRNA
About the family: Transfer RNA (tRNA) molecules are approximately 80 nucleotides in length. Their secondary structure includes four short double-helical elements and three loops (D, anti-codon, and T loops).
Source: RNAcentral